This 485-nucleotide ribosomal RNA is filed under the name uncultured bacterium. Its description in RNAcentral is "partial 16S ribosomal RNA". It matches the Rfam family "Bacterial small subunit ribosomal RNA", at positions 30 to 507 of the family's 1533-position model. The record is from RNAcentral.
AUUGAACGCUGGCGGCAUGCCUUACACAUGCAAGUCGAACGGCAGCACGGGUGCUUGCACCUGGUGGCGAGUGGCGAACGGGUGAGUAAUACAUCGGAACAUGUCCUGUAGUGGGGGAUAGUCCGGCGAAAGCCGGAUUAAUACCGCAUACGAUCCACGGAUGAAUGCGGGGGACCUUCGGGCCUCGCGCUAUUGGUUGGGCGAUGGCUGAUUAGCUAGUUGGUGGGGUAAAGGCCUACCAAGGCGACGAUCAGUAGCUGGUCUGAGAGGACGACCAGCCACACUGGGACUGAGACACGGCCCAGACUCCUACGGGAGGCAGCAGUGGGGAAUUUUGGACAAUGGGCGAAAGCCUGAUCCAGCAAUGCCGCGUGUGUGAAGAAGGCCUUCGGGUUGUAAAGCACUUUUGUCCGGAAAGAAAUCCUUGGCUCUAAUACAGUCGGGGGAUGACGGUACCGGAAGAAUAAGCACCGGCUAACUACGUG